RNAcentral lists this long non-coding RNA (3672 nucleotides) under Carica papaya (papaya). RNAcentral's name for it is "long non-coding RNA (CPAP_LNC008069)". The record is from RNAcentral. Lineage: Eukaryota; Viridiplantae; Streptophyta; Magnoliopsida; Brassicales; Caricaceae.
UGAUUAUGUCAAUGGUAACUUUUUUUGGAUCCCUUCUGAAGCUCUAAUAUAAGUCAAUUAUAUCAUCAUUUUCUUAACUGAAAUGUCAAUUUUCCUGUGAAGAUUUACGAAGAUUGCUUGGUGGUCCAUAGUUUUUUUGGGUGAAUAGUGGUUCAUAGUUAAUGCUGAUAAAGUUACAACUGACAAUCCAGUGGCGAAAAGAUAUUGGUCAAAAACAGUAUAAAUAGUACCAAGAAAUUGAGGGAAGUGUUAAAAAUAAUGAAAGAGGUCAUUCCGAGCACAUGAUUUAAAUGAGAAGCCUCCCUUAAGUUAUUAUCAACAGGAAUAUGAAAAACAGAAAAAAGGCAAGGGAAAUAACUGAAAGCAGAACCCGCAGUAAACGACUGAAAAUUUUUAAUGUUUAUUUUCUCACUAAGAAGUCCUCAAUUGGAAAAAGUUGCCAAGAAUUGAUAUAAUAUAAAACUACAUCUUCUCAAGAAGGAAAAUAAGGAUUAAGGAUGUUAGAGAUCCAGACUCUGAAGAAGAUUUCUGCAAAGAAUAUCAUUUACAAAACGAGUUUCAUUUAUUGAUAUGUGAAAAUAUUCUAUGUACAUUUUAUUUACCACUUACCUCUUCUUCUGCUAUAGGUUAACUCUGUUCCUCUGUGUGGAAUUGCUGCUUCAAUGGAUUAUCUGUACCAGUAACAUUCCUCAAGUCAAAACACUAUAUUCCAAUUUAAUUGUUUUCUCCCUCAGAAGAUCACUUCCAGGCAAAGAGAAGAGAUUGUCAACUCCUUAUUUUCCCCCCCAAGUUACAAGAAAUUUUGUAAGAAGCUUGCUCUCCUAGAAGGCUAGACUCCUCUUGAACAGUACUGAAUUUUUCACAACUCUUGAUCAACAUUAUAACUAUCAUAAAAUAAUCUUUUUAUUCUGGUUAACGGCGUAUGGGUCAGUUGACUGGGAGCAAAUAUAAAUAAACCAAGUCAACCACCUAAUUCUAAAAAAAAAAAGAAAAAAAAAAUCAAUCGCCUAAUUUAUGAACACGUCUCUCAUUCAUCCAAACUCUUGAAAGCUCUCAGAAUCUGGUGAGUAUCUCUAUUGAUUCCAGAAGUAGGGGCUAAAGCUUUGCUCCGAACUCUUGGUUCAGCUACUGAUUGCUUUCAUGUUAUUGCUUAAAUUAGACGAUCCACCUCUGGUAUACCUUAUUGCCAUGAACAAAAUACUUGCCAGAUACCUCCAAAACUAUUAAAUUUCUAAAAUUAGCAAAGUUAUAAAGUUUCCGAAUAACUCCAAAACUUUCUUGCCAUUCUCACCACAAAUCAUCAAAACCCUAAUCUUCCUCAAUGUAUAUGUAAUUGCCUAAUUUUAAUCAUAAUCCUAAAAUUACCAAGUUACAAUAUUCUCAGAACUCCAAGGGUAACUAAAAGCUGGCUUCCACCAUCCUUCAUACUAACUACUCCUGUAUACUAGGAUCAUUAUAAGAACUCUAAAACUUGCCAAUACAAGAAAAAUUAUAAAUAGGAAGGAGGUUGAAAACUUGUCUUUAAUUUUAAGUUCCAGAGUUUGUUGCAGAUUAUGAAGUUCUCUUUACCUUUUUACUGUACAAAAGAUAUAUCAAAUGUAAGACAACUAUAGAUCUGUUCGUGAACAGUAACAAGAAAAAGAUUUUGAGACUCCACCAACUUGUCGACAUGCUGAACAGUCUGGUCAGCAUUAGAAGUUGACUUAAGUUUCAAAAACUUAGUGGAGGAUAAGAUUAAUUCAAGGCAACUUGAAACACAAAGAUGAUAGAGAUAGAUAGAACAAACGGCUGAAGUCAACCCAAAUCCUCAGCAACUUCUUAUUCCAACCACUUGGGAGUUGGCGAAAGAAAAAACAAUUAGAACUAAAAGACAUGAAUUCUAAAUGUCUAAUAAAUAGAGAUCCAACAAUAACAUGUAGUUCUAAUUAGUCCCUGUAAAAGAGCUGAAACUACAAUCAUGCCACAAUUUCCUCUAGGCUCGCAUGUCAUAUGCAAAGAGAAUUGGGUAUAUGAAACCAUGUUGACAAAACCUCUGAUUGACAAGCACAACGCUAUAAUUAUCAUGACAAAGGAACUUGGUAUCUACGAAGUGAGAAAAAAAAUAUCUAAAUUAUCAGUAAUGUCAUAAGAGCCUGAGAUCAUUUCUUCAUGAAUAGAGUUAGAGAGAUUGAAAGAAAAACAAAAUAAAAUCAACCUUUUUUCCCUGAAAAUUCGAUGACGAAGUGCUGCAUUAUCCAGGGUAGGCAAGAAAAUCAUAUAAUUAUGAAAAGCACAAUUGCAGCAUUCUCCACAGAAGAUAGGAAGAAGAGCUUUAGGGGGUCAAGAUCACAAAAUAAGUAGAAGAAUUGUUCCAGAUCUAUUGACAACAACCAACAAAGGCUGAAAUUAAAGAAAACUAAAAUGUGUUGAGGCUUAUCUCCAGCUGGAACAACAUAUACAUUGUAACAGAGAAGCAGCAGGUCCCGUUUCUCAAAACAAUCACUGAGGAAGAACGUGAAGGAGAAAAGACAUAUGUUGGGGGGGGUUCGGCCAGAGAAAAGACUAAGACAGAAAGAGAAGAAAACAAAAACAGUAACCACUACCAAUUUCAGCCUCAAACCUCGAUAGGACUGUACAGUGAAGUUGUAAGAUAUUUUAUCAGAGAAAAUUUGCAGGAGCCGGAAGGAGAUAAAAGAAAAUAGUAUCUAGAAAUGCCAAGGCAGAAACAUGUGCCAAGAGAAAUAUAAAGCGUAAACAAUACAUAGGAAACAAAUCCAGUUUGGAGCACAAGAACUUACAAAAGGUCGCCAUUGCAGGCAGAACACACAUAGUUGAGAAUAAAAUCAGCAAUUCGCAGGCGGAUUCGACCUAAAACUCCUUCAUACGCACGCGAUUUGUGUCAUAUCUGAGCUGAGAAACGAGCAAAAUGUGAGAGGAAAGAGAGAAGAAGAGGUCAAAAUUUGAAGCGAAGAAGAAUAGAUAGAGAGAUAUCUCCUUCUUGCUCUGUGCGUAUGUAUCUAAACUUUCAGUCUCACUCACUCCCAAAUCACGAGUAACCUUCCUCUCUGGUGUAAUAUAACUGGUAAGCCAAUUGGUUUUUCACUUUUGCAUGUGUAGAAAGAGAAUAUAGUACUCUGAAGACUCUCUCUUCCCCCCUCGCUCCAGCCUCCGGUCAAAAUUAAAAUUGAAAGAAGAAGAAGAAGAAGAAUGAAGAAAAAAGUGUCGUGGAAGUAGUAAUUUUCUUCUGUCGAGGCACUGUCCCUGUUCAUCACCCUCGCCAUUAUUAUUACGUUUUUCUCUUACGAAUUUUUUAUCUGUAAAAAUUUUUAAUUUUCUCAAAAGUUAGAUUUUACUGCCAGUCAAUUCAUAUAUAUACAUACAUAUAUAUUAAAUAAGAAUUUUUAUAUUAAUUCUGAUUCAAAAUUUAAUUUUAAAAGAAAAAUAAAAUACAAUGAAACAGAAUUAUAAAAAGUAAAAUUAAUUUCGAAGAAAAUAAUAUUAUUAUGAUGGGGUCAGUCAAGUUGAAAUUUACAAAGUAUAUUUGGGAAUGAAAGAAGAGUUUGUAAUAAGGCCAAAGGAUGCACGUGUACACCUGCGCUCUCACUAUACAUUUAACCAUAUAAUAUAAUAUAAUAUAAGAUAAUAUAUAUAUAUAUAUGUAUGUAUGUAUGUAUUCCCAGAAUGUUAAUGCAA